GAGCCUACGGGGGGCAGCAGUGAGGAAUAUUGGUCAAUGGGCGCAAGCCUGAACCAGCCAAGUCGCGUGAGGGAUGACGGUCCUAUGGAUUGUAAACCUCUUUUGUCGGGGAGCAAGGCCCGCCACGUGUGGCGGGAAGGAGAGUACCCGAAGAAAAAGCAUCGGCUAACUCCGUGCCAGCAGCCGCGGUAAUACGGAGGAUGCGAGCGUUAUCCGGGUUUAUUGGGCGUAAAGGGUGCGUAGGCGGCCUGCUAAGUCUGGAGUGAAAGGUACCGGCUCAACCGGGACAGGCUC
This 294-nucleotide ribosomal RNA is filed under the name uncultured bacterium. RNAcentral describes it as "partial 16S ribosomal RNA". It matches the Rfam family "Bacterial small subunit ribosomal RNA", at positions 335 to 626 of the family's 1533-position model. The record is from RNAcentral.